UGGAGACACGUGUAACAUUAGUCAACGUCUCCGUCGAUUGCAGUCUCAUUGAAGACUUUUCGGCCGAAACCUUGACUAACUUUGUACGUGUUUUCACC
This 98-nucleotide microRNA precursor is filed under the name Petromyzon marinus (sea lamprey). RNAcentral's name for it is "microRNA pma-mir-4551 precursor". The record is from miRBase by way of RNAcentral. Lineage: Eukaryota; Metazoa; Chordata; Hyperoartia; Petromyzontiformes; Petromyzontidae.